UGCCCUAUUAUUCUAAUUAUUUAAUAAAAAAAUUAUUAAAAAACCUUAACAAAUUUGACGGUAUUUUAACUCCAAAGGAGUUUGUUUAAACGAAAAUACACGACUUACCUUACUUAUAUUUAUUUUGUAUACCGCCGUAUAGGUUAUAUCUUAUAUAUAACCAUAAAGAUUAUAUUCUAAAUUUCAGGUCAUGGCACAGAAUAUAUAAGCAAAAAUGAACUACAUUUAUAUAUUAUACCUAUAGAUUUUAUGAAAAUUUAUCUAGAGAUGAAUUUGUUAGUAAAUAGAAAAUAAUUUAUUCUAUUGAUAAAAAAUAAAAUAUGU
RNAcentral lists this ribosomal RNA (324 nucleotides) under Mesoperipatus tholloni. RNAcentral describes it as "partial 12S ribosomal RNA". Lineage: Eukaryota; Metazoa; Onychophora; Udeonychophora; Euonychophora; Peripatidae. The record is from RNAcentral.